GUUUGAUUAUGGCUCAGGAUGAACGCUGGCGGCAUGCCUAACACAUGCAAGUCGAACGAGAAUCUGCGGAUAGAGGAUUCGUCCAAUUGAAGCAGAGGACAGUGGCGAACGGGUGAGUAAUGCAUGAGCAACCUGCCCUUCAGAGGGGGACAACAGUUGGAAACGACUGCUAAUACCGCAUAACAUUUCCGGAAGGCAUCUUCUGGGAAUCAAAGAUUUAUCGCUGAAGGAUGGGCUCAUGUCUGAUUAGCUGGUUGGUGGGGUAACGGCCCACCAAGGCGACGAUCAGUAGCCGGUCUGAGAGGAUGAACGGCCACAUUGGGACUGAGAUACGGCCCAGACUCCUACGGGAGGCAGCAGUGGGGAAUAUUGGGCAAUGGGCGCAAGCCUGACCCAGCAAUGCCGCGUGAAGGAAGAAGGCCCUCGGGUUGUAAACUUCUUUUAUCAGGGACGAAGGAUGUGACGGUACCUGAUGAAUAAGCCCCGGCUAACUACGUGCCAGCAGCCGCGGUAAUACGUAGGGAGCAAGCGUUAUCCGGAUUUACUGGGUGUAAAGGGCGCGUAGGCGGGAUGGCAAGUCAGAUGUGAAAUCUAUGGGCUUAACCCAUAAACUGCAUUUGAAACUGUCGUUCUUGAGUACUGGAGAGGUUGACGGAAUUCCUAGUGUAGCGGUGAAAUGCGUAGUUAUUAGGAGGAACACCAGUGGCGAAGGCGGCUUACUGGACUGUAACUGACGUUGAGGCUCGAAAGCGUGGGGAGCAAACAGGAUUAGAUACCCUGGUAGUCCACGCCGUAAACGAUGAUUACUAGGUGUCGGUGGGUAUGGACCCACCGGUGCCGCAGCAAACGCAGUAAGUAAUCCACCUGGGGAGUACGUUCGCAAGAAUGAAACUCAAAGGAAUUGACGGGGACCCGCACAAGCGGUGGAGCAUGUGGUUUAAUCCGAAGCAACGCGAAGAACCUUACCAAGUCUUGACAUCCCAUCGAAUAAAGGGUAAUGCCUUUAGUCCUUCGGGACGAUGGAGACAGGUGGUGCAUGGUUGUCGUCAGCUCGUGUCGUGAGAUGUUGGGUUAAGUCCCGCAACGAGCGCAACCCUUAUUCCCAGUAGCCAGCAAGUGAGGUUGGGCACUCUGGGGAGACUGCCGGGGACAACCCGGAGGAAGGUGGGGAUGACGUCAAAUCAUCAUGCCCCUUAUGAUUUGGGCUACACACGUGCUACAAUGGCGUAAACAGAGGGAGGCGAGCCCGCGAGGGGGAGCAAAUCCCAAAAAUAACGUCCCAGUUCGGAUUGUAGUCUGCAACCCGACUACAUGAAGCUGGAAUCGCUAGUAAUCGCGGAUCAGAAUGCCGCGGUGAAUACGUUCCCGGGUCUUGUACACACCGCCCGUCACACCAUGGGAGUCGGAAAUGCCCGAAGUCUGUGACCCAACCUUAGGGAGGGAGCAGCCGAAGGCAGGUCGGAUGACUGGGGUGAAGUCGUAACAAGGUAUCC
Molecule: ribosomal RNA, 1493 nt
Filed under: uncultured bacterium
Lineage: Bacteria
Description: 16S ribosomal RNA
Rfam family: Bacterial small subunit ribosomal RNA
Source: RNAcentral